Molecule: long non-coding RNA, 694 nt
Organism: Phalaenopsis equestris
Lineage: Eukaryota; Viridiplantae; Streptophyta; Magnoliopsida; Asparagales; Orchidaceae
Exons: 3
Source: RefSeq, a predicted model, not a curated record
GGUUUGGUACUGGAGAAGGAUUUGAUGGUACUGGAAGACGCUUGGGUGGUUUUACCAGGCAGCCUCCUCAAUCAUCUCUUCGACAAACCGCAAUGGCUCCAGCACAAAAACGCACUCGGGUCGGUGCUCUAUUGCCAUCUGGUCCAAGGCAGCUCGGGGGCGAUGAUGUUAUUAUGUCUGCUCUUAGUCCCAUAAAAACUGCUGCAAUGGCCGCUGAAAGAAGAAAGCAGGAUGAUUUGUGGUGCGGUUCAAUCUCGCGUGAAAUGGAAAGGAUCGAUGGUUUAGAAGAACUCGGAGAAUCUUCGAACAGUUUAAGCAGCAACCAUAGGAACAGACCGCUAUCUGUGCCUACAUAUUCUAUUUCGGCAAGAGAAAAUAAUGAUGCAAGCUGUUAUGGGAAUGCAAAGUGUGCACUCUAUUGAAUCAGCCAUUGGCACCAAUAUGUGAGGCAUGCGAAGCUAAAAAAUUUAGACCUUUGGAAUCCAAAUAUAAAACCUGCUCAUGCAAGCUCUGUACUUUGGAGAACAGCAUGAAAUUGGACAAAUGCUCUAUAUGCAAGCAAUGGCGAUACUCAAACGGAUCACCGGCGUCCACCCGCAGUCCCAAUUAUGGUACUUGACGUAAUUGUUUAGGUGCUUAUGUAAUUUUUGAACAAAUGUUAGUAUAUUUUGUUUAGGGAAAUUUACAUACAUGC